RNAcentral lists this microRNA precursor (110 nucleotides) under Pelobates cultripes (western spadefoot toad). The record is from RNAcentral. Lineage: Eukaryota; Metazoa; Chordata; Amphibia; Anura; Pelobatidae.
CCAGCUGGGAGACAGUGCUUCACUUGGGGUAUUUGACAAACUGACACUCUGUUACACUGAGUGUCGAACUCAGCUUGUCAAAUACACUUAGUGCAACACUUAACAAUCUG